UAGGGAAUCUUCGGCAAUGGGGGGAACCCUGACCGAGCAACGCCGCGUGAGUGAAGAAGGUUCUCGGAUCGUAAAGCUCUGUUGUUAAGGAAGAACGAGUGUGAGAAUGGAAAGUUCAUACUGUGACGGUACUUAACCAGAAAGGGACGGCUAACUACGUGCCAGCAGCCGCGGUAAUACGUAGGUCCCGAGCGUUGUCCGGAUUUAUUGGGCGUAAAGCGAGCGCAGGCGGUCAAUUAAGUCUGAUGUGAAAGCCCCCGGCUCAACCGGGGAGGGUCAUUGGCAACUGGUUGACUUGAGUGCAGAAGGGGAGAGUGGAAUUCCAUGUGUAGCGGUGAAAUGCGUAGAUAUAUGGAGGAACACCAGUGGCGAAGGCGACUCUCUGGUCUGUAACUGACGCUGAGGCUCGAAAGCGUGGGUAGCAAACAGG
This 430-nucleotide ribosomal RNA is filed under the name Bacteroidota bacterium. RNAcentral describes it as "Bacteroidetes bacterium partial 16S ribosomal RNA". It matches the Rfam family "Bacterial small subunit ribosomal RNA", at positions 355 to 776 of the family's 1533-position model. The record is from RNAcentral. Lineage: Bacteria; Pseudomonadati; Bacteroidota.